UUCUUUUUUGUUUGUUCUACAUCAUCAUGUUUUCAUUUGCAGAUUAAGUGCCUAGUCUCCAACAGAAAAUAGUGAUGUAAAAUGCAAAUGUCUAAUGCAAAAUCUACUAAUUUUAAAUGGUGAACUUAAUUAUGUAGCAUAAAUAAAGUGCACAAAUGGUGCUUUAUUAACAAAAACUGAACAACUUAACUAUUAUGACAAAUAAAUAAUAUUUUAUUCAAAAUAUAAGAAUUUUUCAGCUAAACAACAAGAGGUAUGUGAGUAAAAUUAAAUAAACCCAUAAACAACAGCAAUCAAAUAAAUUCUGACCUCCAUGG
This 317-nucleotide unclassified non-coding RNA is filed under the name Hevea brasiliensis (rubber tree). Lineage: Eukaryota; Viridiplantae; Streptophyta; Magnoliopsida; Malpighiales; Euphorbiaceae. The record is from RNAcentral.